GGUGAGUAAUGUCUGGGAAACUGCCUGAUGGAGGGGGAUAACUACUGGAAACGGUAGCUAAUACCGCAUAACGUCGCAAGACCAAAGAGGGGGACCUUCGGGCCUCUUGCCAUCGGAUGUGCCCAGAUGGGAUUAGCUAGUAGGUGGGGUAACGGCUCACCUAGGCGACGAUCCCUAGCUGGUCUGAGAGGAUGACCAGCCACACUGGAACUGAGACACGGUCCAGACUCCUACGGGAGGCAGCAGUGGGGAAUAUUGCACAAUGGGCGCAAGCCUGAUGCAGCCAUGCCGCGUGUAUGAAGAAGGCCUUCGGGUUGUAAAGUACUUUCAGCGGGGAGGAAGGGAGUAAAGUUAAUACCUUUGCUCAUUGACGUUACCCGCAGAAGAAGCACCGGCUAACUCCGUGCCAGCAGCCGCGGUAAUACGGAGGGUGCAAGCGUUAAUCGGAAUUACUGGGCGUAAAGCGCACGCAGGCGGUUUGUUAAGUCAGAUGUGAAAUCCCCGGGCUCAACCUGGGAACUGCAUC
Molecule: ribosomal RNA, 526 nt
Filed under: Shigella flexneri
Lineage: Bacteria; Pseudomonadati; Pseudomonadota; Gammaproteobacteria; Enterobacterales; Enterobacteriaceae
Description: bacterial SSU rRNA
Rfam family: Bacterial small subunit ribosomal RNA
Source: RNAcentral